This 497-nucleotide ribosomal RNA is filed under the name uncultured bacterium. RNAcentral describes it as "partial 16S ribosomal RNA". It matches the Rfam family "Bacterial small subunit ribosomal RNA", at positions 28 to 507 of the family's 1533-position model. The record is from RNAcentral.
GAUGAACGCUGGCGGCGUGCCUAAUACAUGCAAGUCGAGCGAACAGACGAGGAGCUUGCUUCUCUGACGUUAGCGGCGGACGGGUGAGUAACACGUGGAUAACCUACCUAUAAGACUGGGAUAACUUCGGGAAACCGGAGCUAAUACCGGAUAAUAUAUUGAACCGCAUGGUUCAAUAGUGAAAGACGGUCUUGCUGUCACUUAUAGAUGGAUCCGCGCUGCAUUAGCUAGUUGGUAAGGUAACGGCUUACCAAGGCAACGAUGCGUAGCCGACCUGAGAGGGUGAUCGGCCACACUGGAACUGAGACACGGUCCAGACUCCUACGGGAGGCAGCAGUAGGGAAUCUUCCGCAAUGGGCGAAAGCCUGACGGAGCAACGCCGCGUGAGUGAUGAAGGUCUUCGGAUCGUAAAACUCUGUUAUUAGGGAAGAACAAAUGUGUAAGUAACUGUGCACGUCUUGACGGUACCUAAUCAGAAAGCCACGGCUAACUACGUG